RNAcentral lists this ribosomal RNA (492 nucleotides) under uncultured bacterium. RNAcentral describes it as "partial 16S ribosomal RNA". It matches the Rfam family "Bacterial small subunit ribosomal RNA", at positions 29 to 507 of the family's 1533-position model. The record is from RNAcentral.
AGUGAACGCUGGCGGCAGGCCUAACACAUGCAAGUCGAACGGCAGCACAGUAAGAGCUUGCUCUUACGGGUGGCGAGUGGCGGACGGGUGAGGAAUACAUCGGAAUCUACUUUUUCGUGGGGGAUAACGUAGGGAAACUUACGCUAAUACCGCAUACGACCUACGGGUGAAAGCAGGGGAUCUUCGGACCUUGCGCGAUUGAAUGAGCCGAUGUCGGAUUAGCUAGUUGGCGGGGUAAAGGCCCACCAAGGCGACGAUCCGUAGCUGGUCUGAGAGGAUGGUCAGCCACACUGGAACUGAGACACGGUCCAGACUCCUACGGGAGGCAGCAGUGGGGAAUAUUGGACAAUGGGCGCAAGCCUGAUCCAGCCAUACCGCGUGGGUGAAGAAGGCCUUCGGGUUGUAAAGCCCUUUUGUUGGGAAAGAAAAGCAGCAGGUUAAUACCCCGCUGUUCUGACGGUACCCAAAGAAUAAGCACCGGCUAACUUCGUG